CCCCUCCCCACUCCCCCUCCCAUCUCUAAAAAUGCCUUCCUGCUGCCUCCUCCUGCCUGAAAUUCCAUCUUAUCCAUCCUAGGGUCUAAAGCUCUGGCCGCCAGGGCUGCACGGCUCUGAGCUCACUGAUUUGCUUCUGGGCUUCAGUAUCCCCAUCUGUAAAGUGGGAGCGCCCCGGAGUAAAGGAACUCCCGAGUCAGUCACCCGCAGCAACUGUGUCUCCAGCUCCAGUCCCCACGGGAAGGGGGUGCACUGUGGUGAGCGGGACCCCGCAGCUCUCGACCAAGGGGCCUUGAUAGGCAGGGAGGAGCCGUGGGGCGCUCGCAGUCCAGGGGCAGGUGUGUUUGCAGAGGCCUGACUCCCCCACCCCACCCCGGGGCCUCCAGGAGGCCACUCCCUGCCCAGGAAGGAAGGCUGGAAGAGAGCCUCAGGGCAGCGGAACCGCUCAUUGCCGAUGGUGAUGACCUGCCCGUCCGGCAGCUCGUAGCUCUUCUCCAGGGAGGAGCUGGAGGCCGCGGUGGCCAUCUCCUGCUCGAAGUCCAGGGCCACGUAGCAGAGCUUCUCCUUGAUGUCACGGACGAUUUCCCGCUCGGCCGUGGUGGUGAAGCUGUAGCCACGCUCCGUGAGGAUCUUCAUGAGGUAGUCCGUCAGGUCCCGGCCAGCCAGGAGAUCUGGAAGAACACUUUAUAUAAAGAAACGCGCGGCUGCAUCUUAACAGGGGGAGCGUUUUGUUUCCUUCCGCUGAAUUCCUCUGAGCUCAGCAAGAUACAGAAACGCUGGCCUAACCCGGAAGACUCUGACACGCCUGCCUCACAUGGUGGGUGGGGAGUGAGGCGAGCCAGAGCAUUCGGGGGCUGGCAGUGGGCGGCCUCUCCCAGUACCAACUCGGCAUGCUGGCAGCCGGCAGAAGUGAGGGAGAAAAGCAGAGAGGCUUUCAUGAAGAAAAACCACCCCAAAGCCCAACUUCUUACAAUGUGUCCCCCAACAAUGAAGCCCCACAGCUCUGCCCAUGGAGCGGGGUCUGGAUGGGAGAAGAUGAAGAGAAACUGCAGCUGGUUAAAGGGAAGAGAAGGUUUCCGCCCAUCAGAUAUUGACAAAAUCGCCACCACAGGCUGA
RNAcentral lists this long non-coding RNA (1116 nucleotides) under Ovis aries (sheep). RNAcentral describes it as "lncRNA (ENSOARG00000025897.1)". Lineage: Eukaryota; Metazoa; Chordata; Mammalia; Artiodactyla; Bovidae. The record is from RNAcentral.